Molecule: ribosomal RNA, 910 nt
Filed under: Vibrio parahaemolyticus
Lineage: Bacteria; Pseudomonadati; Pseudomonadota; Gammaproteobacteria; Vibrionales; Vibrionaceae
Description: partial 23S ribosomal RNA
Rfam family: Bacterial large subunit ribosomal RNA
Source: RNAcentral
UAAUGGGUCAGCGACUUAUAUUCAGUGGCAAGGUUAACCAUCUAGGGGAGCCGUAGGGAAACCGAGUCUUAACUGGGCGUUCAGUCUCUGGAUAUAGACCCGAAACCAGGUGAUCUAGCCAUGGGCAGGUUGAAGGUUGAGUAACAUCAACUGGAGGACCGAACCGACUAAUGUUGAAAAAUUAGCGGAUGACUUGUGGCUAGGGGUGAAAGGCCAAUCAAACCUGGAGAUAGCUGGUUCUCCCCGAAAGCUAUUUAGGUAGCGCCUCGGACGAAUACUACUGGGGGUAGAGCACUGUUAAGGCUAGGGGGUCAUCCCGACUUACCAACCCUUUGCAAACUCCGAAUACCAGUAAGUACUAUCCGGGAGACACACGGCGGGUGCUAACGUCCGUCGUGGAGAGGGAAACAACCCAGACCGCCAGCUAAGGUCCCAAAUUACUACUAAGUGGGAAACGAUGUGGGAAGGCUCAGACAGCCAGGAUGUUGGCUUAGAAGCAGCCAUCAUUUAAAGAAAGCGUAAUAGCUCACUGGUCGAGUCGGCCUGCGCGGAAGAUGUAACGGGGCUAAGUAGUAAACCGAAGCUGCGGCAAUAUACUUUUGUAUAUUGGGUAGGGGAGCGUUCUGUAAGCGGUUGAAGGUGUGUGGUAACGCAUGCUGGACGUAUCAGAAGUGCGAAUGCUGACAUGAGUAACGAUAAAGGGGGUGAAAAACCUCCUCGCCGGAAGACCAAGGGUUCCUGUCCAACGUUAAUCGGGGCAGGGUAAGUCGACCCCUAAGGCGAGGCCGAAAGGCGUAGUCGAUGGGAAACGGGUUAAUAUUCCCGUACUUCUUACAAUUGCGAUGGGGGGACGGAGAAGGCUAGGUGGGCCUGGCGACGGUUGUCCAGGUUCAAGUGCGUAGGCUUAAGA